Molecule: ribosomal RNA, 615 nt
Filed under: uncultured bacterium
Lineage: Bacteria
Description: bacterial SSU rRNA
Rfam family: Bacterial small subunit ribosomal RNA (bases 1-520)
Source: RNAcentral
CCUACGGGAGGCAGCAGUAGGGAAUCUUGCGCAAUGGGCGAAAGCCUGACGCAGCCAUGCCGCGUGAAUGAUGAAGGUCUUAGGAUUGUAAAAUUCUUUCACCGGGGACGAUAAUGACGGUACCCGGAGAAGAAGCCCCGGCUAACUUCGUGCCAGCAGCCGCGGUAAUACGAAGGGGGCUAGCGUUGCUCGGAAUUACUGGGCGUAAAGGGAGCGUAGGCGGAUAGUUUAGUCAGAGGUGAAAGCCCAGGGCUCAACCUUGGAACUGCCUUUGAUACUGGCUAUCUUGAGUACGGGAGAGGUGAGUGGAACUCCGAGUGUAGAGGUGAAAUUCGUAGAUAUUCGGAAGAACACCAGUGGCGAAGGCGACUCACUGGCCCGUUACUGACGCUGAGGCUCGAAAGCGUGGGGAGCAAACAGGAUUAGAUACCCUGGUAGUCCACGCUGUAAACGAUGAGUGCUAGUUGUCGGCAUGCAUGCAUGUCGGUGGACGCAGCUAACGCAUUAAGACACCUCCGCCGUCGGGGAGGUACGGUCGGCGAAGAAUUAAAACUUAACAAAUAGAAGUUAGUACGGCGUGAGACGUCGCCGACGGACGACGACGAGGGAGUUAGG